This 407-nucleotide ribosomal RNA is filed under the name uncultured bacterium. RNAcentral's name for it is "partial 16S ribosomal RNA". It matches the Rfam family "Bacterial small subunit ribosomal RNA", at positions 30 to 526 of the family's 1533-position model. The record is from RNAcentral.
AUUGAACGCUGGCGGCAGGCCUAACACAUGCAAGUCGAGCGGAGCGGCGGACGGGUGAGGAAUGCCUAGGAAUCUGCCUGGUAGUGGGGGAUAACGUCCGGAAACGGGCGCUAAUACCGCAUACUAUCAGAUGAGACUAGGUCGGAUUAGCUAGUUGGUGGGGUAAAGGCCUACCAAGGCGACGAUCCGUAACUGGUCUGAGAGGAUGAUCAGUCACACGUGAACUGAGACACGGUCCCGACUCCUACGGGAGGCAGCAGUGGGGAAUAUUGGACAAUGGGCGAAAGCCUGAUCCAGCCAUUCCGCGUGUGGGAAUAAGGUCUUCGGAUUGUAAAGCACUUUAUGUUGUGAGGCGUUACCAACAGAAUAAGCACCGGCUAACUUCGUGCCAGCAGCCGCGGUAAUUC